UUGUUGAUCUCCUGGUAAUUC
This is a non-coding RNA of Caenorhabditis elegans, 21 nucleotides long. The record is from Ensembl. NCBI's taxonomy places the organism in Eukaryota, Metazoa, Nematoda, Chromadorea, Rhabditida, Rhabditidae.